This 334-nucleotide ribosomal RNA is filed under the name uncultured eukaryote. Its description in RNAcentral is "partial 18S ribosomal RNA". It matches the Rfam family "Eukaryotic small subunit ribosomal RNA", at positions 1470 to 1796 of the family's 1831-position model. The record is from RNAcentral.
CCCUUAGAUGUCCGGGGCCGCACGAGCGCUACACUGAAGGAAUCAGCGUGGCUUUCUCCCUGACCCGAAAGGGUUGGGAAACCCGUUGAAUCUCCUUCGUGAUAGGGAUUGGGGCUUGAAAUUGUUCCCCAUGAACGAGGAAUUCCCAGUAAGCGCGAGUCAUAAGCUCGCGUUGAUUACGUCCCUGCCCUUUGUACACACCGCCCGUCGCUACUACCGAUUGAACGGUUUAGUGAGGGCCUCGGAUUGGUCUCGGCCCGCUCUUUACCGGGCGGCGCCGUUGGUCGAGAAGACGCUCGAACUUGAUCGUUUAGAGGAAGUAAAAGUCGUAACA